CUACGGGGGGCUGCAGUGGGGAAUAUUGGGCAAUGGGCGCAAGCCUGACCCAGCAACGCCGCGUGAAGGAAGAAGGCUUUCGGGUUGUAAACUUCUUUGACCAAGGACGAAGAACGUGACGGUACUUGGAAAACAAGCCACGGCUAACUACGUGCCAGCAGCCGCGGUAAUACGUAGGUGGCAAGCGUUGUCCGGAUUUACUGGGUGUAAAGGGCGUGUAGGCGGGACUGCAAGUCAGAUGUGAAAUCUGGGGGCUUAACCCUCAAACUGCAUUUGAAACUGUGGUUCUUGAGUGAUGGGAGGCAGGCGGAAUUCCUAGUGUAGCGGUGAAAUGCGUAGAUAUUAGGAGGAACACCAGUGGCGAAGGCGGCCUGCUGGACAUUAACUGACGCUGAGGCGCGAAAGCGUGGGGAGCAAACAGGAUUAGAUACCCGAGUAGUC
RNAcentral lists this ribosomal RNA (441 nucleotides) under uncultured bacterium. Its description in RNAcentral is "partial 16S ribosomal RNA". It matches the Rfam family "Bacterial small subunit ribosomal RNA", at positions 339 to 795 of the family's 1533-position model. The record is from RNAcentral.